CCUACGGGAGGCAGCAGUGAGGAAUAUUGGUCAAUGGACGAGAGUCUGAACCAGCCAAGUAGCGUGAAGGAUGACUGCCCUAUGGGUUGUAAACUUCUUUUAUAUGGGAAUAAAAUGUUCCACGUGUGGGAUUUUGUAUGUACCAUAUGAAUAAGGAUCGGCUAACUCCGUUCCAGCAGCCGCGGUAAUACGGAGGAUCCGAGCGUUAUCCGGAUUUAUUGGGUUUAAAGGGAGCGUAGGUGGAUGGAUAAGUCAGUUGUGAAAGUUUGCGGCUCAACCGUAAAAUUGCAGUUGAAACUGGCAGUCUUGAGUGCAGUAGAGGUAGGCGGAAUGCGUGGUGUAGCGGUGAAAUGCUUAGAUAUCACGAAGAACUCCGAUUGCGAAGGCAGUUCACUGGACUGCAACUGACACUGAGGCUCGAAAGUGUGGGUAUCAAACAGGAUUAGAUACCCCGGUAGUC
This 460-nucleotide ribosomal RNA is filed under the name uncultured bacterium. RNAcentral describes it as "partial 16S ribosomal RNA". It matches the Rfam family "Bacterial small subunit ribosomal RNA", at positions 338 to 795 of the family's 1533-position model. The record is from RNAcentral.